Molecule: long non-coding RNA, 212 nt
Filed under: Brassica napus (rape)
Lineage: Eukaryota; Viridiplantae; Streptophyta; Magnoliopsida; Brassicales; Brassicaceae
Description: long non-coding RNA (BNAP_LNC004911)
Source: RNAcentral
AAAAAACCUUAAAUCUCGAUCACUAGACCCAAACUCAAAUAUAAACUAUUUAUAUAUAUAUAUAAUAUUUUUACAACAAAAAAAAUCUGAAAAUAGGAUAUAAUAUUUUGUAAUAUUAUACUAUACUAUAUAAAUAGAUAGGAAAGAAGGAGAAGCCAUACACGUCACACGUUUUAUUGACCACACACCUAUGUAUUAAGUGAUUUAUUUCA